CUUAGGCGCCAAGAGAUACGGCGAGUUCUUAUUCUUAAAACUAACUGCGCAUCCUUCAUUGCGGGAGCGCAGGCUUUACAGGGCCGCGCUGCGCUACUUGCGGUUGCCUUGGCUCUUUGUGGGAACCUAUGUGGGUUCCCGCUCCUUGUUUGUGUUUAUCCUGGAUACAAAGUUCUGUUCUGACAAGUCCCUCAGUUUGUGCAGCAAAGCGAGAGAAUGGGGGUUGAAACAGUGCCAAACACAAGCUGUGGCCAUGGUUUCCUCACACAAAGUGCCGGGCUAGGCUGUGCCCUCAGGAAUACUAGGGAUUUAGGUUUUGCCAUAUUUAUUGGCAGAAAUGGCGGCCUGCCUACCCGCGUCAAGUUCCUUCCAUGGGCGCAAUUCUACAGGCUGCAGCAGGUACGGUGGCCCCAGAGGCUUGUCGGGGGCCCAGGGAAAUGUGAUUGCCCCGGUGGUGCUGGGGGACGUUACAAGGACACAAAUGAAUAAAGAUGUCGGUGCCAAAGCAG
Long non-coding RNA from Xenopus tropicalis (tropical clawed frog), 509 nucleotides. RefSeq lists it as uncharacterized. The record is from RefSeq and is a predicted model, not a curated record. The transcript has 3 exons. NCBI's taxonomy places the organism in Eukaryota, Metazoa, Chordata, Amphibia, Anura, Pipidae.